UUCCCAGAAAACUAAACCGACUAAAAAGA
RNAcentral lists this small RNA (29 nucleotides) under Bombyx mori (domestic silkworm). RNAcentral describes it as "piRNA piR-bmo-1568234". Lineage: Eukaryota; Metazoa; Arthropoda; Insecta; Lepidoptera; Bombycidae. The record is from RNAcentral.